This 640-nucleotide ribosomal RNA is filed under the name uncultured bacterium. RNAcentral's name for it is "bacterial SSU rRNA". It matches the Rfam family "Bacterial small subunit ribosomal RNA", at positions 232 to 885 of the family's 1533-position model. The record is from RNAcentral.
CGCGGCCUAUCAGCUUGUUGGCGGGGUAACGGCCCACCAAGGCAACGACGGGUAGCUGGUUUGAGAGAACGAUCAGCCACACUGGAACUGAGACACGGUCCAGACUUCUACGGAAGGCAGCAGUAGGGAAUCUUGCGCAAUGGGCGAAAGCCUGACGCAGCGACGUCGCGUGCGGGAUGACGGCCCUAGUGGUUGUAAACCGCUUUCAGCAGGGACGAAAAUGACGGUACCUGCAGAAGAAGUCCCGGCUAACUACGUGCCAGCAGCCGCGGUAAUACGUAGGGGACAAGCGUUGUCCGGAUUCAUUGGGCGUAAAGAGCUCGUAGGCGGUUCAGUAAGUUGGGUGUGAAAGCUCCGGGCUCAACCCGGAGAGGCCACUCAAUACUGCUGUGACUAGAGUCCAGUAGAGGAGCGUGGAACUCCUGGUGUAGCGGUGAAAUGCGCAGAUAUCAGGAAGAACACCGGCAGCGAAGGCGGCGCUCUGGGCUGGUACUGACGCUGAGGAGCGAAAGCAUGGGUAGCAAACAGGAUUAGAUACCCUGGUAGUCCAUGCCGUAAACGUUGGGCACUAGGUGUGGGGAGGAAUCAACCCUCUCCGUGCCGUAGCUAACGCAUUAAGUGCCCCGCCUGGGGAGUACGG